Pelobates cultripes (western spadefoot toad) is the source of this 319-nucleotide non-coding RNA. Lineage: Eukaryota; Metazoa; Chordata; Amphibia; Anura; Pelobatidae. The record is from the annotation of a GenBank genome assembly.
GGCGUUUGGUGCUUUUGCCGGUCAACUUAAGGGAGCUCCUGCGGCCGCAACACGGGGUGCUCCGGCUGGCUCCUAGGUAGCGUUGGUUCCCCUUAGUCUCAGGCACCUUCCCUCCAAAAAGCGCUCUCCUGGCGGAUUUCAAAAUGGUUCAAAACUGCAAACCAAGUUGUCCGGGAACUGCACGGUCACCUGAAACCGAAAAAAGUUCUAUAACAUUCGUGGCUAAGUCCUGCUGAGGUGACCGGUAACCCACGAAGUCCUCAUGCCGAAAUUAGUUCCAUAGCAGUCGCGGCUAAGAACCAUUGGGACUAUUCAUGGG